This 502-nucleotide ribosomal RNA is filed under the name uncultured bacterium. Its description in RNAcentral is "partial 16S ribosomal RNA". It matches the Rfam family "Bacterial small subunit ribosomal RNA", at positions 28 to 507 of the family's 1533-position model. The record is from RNAcentral.
GACGAACGCUGGCGGCGUGCCUAAUACAUGCAAGUCGAACGAACCGCGACUAAGUGCUUGCACUAAGUCAAGGUGAGUGGCGAACGGGUGAGUAACACGUAGGUAACCUACCUCAUAGUGGGGGAUAACAGUCGGAAACGACUGCUAAUACCGCAUAGGACAUAGGAUCACAUGAUCCAGUGAGGAAAGGUGGCGCAAGCUAUCGCUAAGAGAUGGACCCGCGGUGCAUUAGCUAGUUGGUAGGGUAAAGGCCUACCAAGGCGAUGAUGCAUAGCCGACCUGAGAGGGUGAUCGGCCACAUUGGGACUGAGACACGGCCCAAACUCCUACGGGAGGCAGCAGUAGGGAAUCUUCCGCAAUGGACGCAAGUCUGACGGAGCAACGCCGCGUGAGUGAAGAAGGUCUUCGGAUCGUAAAGCUCUGUUGUUAGAGAAGAACAGCGCAUAGAGUAACUGCUAUGCGUGUGACGGUAUCUAACCAGAAAGCCACGGCUAACUACGUG